UUUUAAGCAUCGGUAACAAACA
RNAcentral lists this microRNA (22 nucleotides) under Strongyloides ratti. RNAcentral describes it as "str-miR-8375-5p". The record is from miRBase by way of RNAcentral. Lineage: Eukaryota; Metazoa; Nematoda; Chromadorea; Rhabditida; Strongyloididae.